This 268-nucleotide ribosomal RNA is filed under the name uncultured archaeon. RNAcentral describes it as "partial 16S ribosomal RNA". It matches the Rfam family "Archaeal small subunit ribosomal RNA", at positions 718 to 982 of the family's 1478-position model. The record is from RNAcentral.
AGUCACUGACAUUAGACUACCCCGGUAGUCCCAGCCGUAAACUAUGCGCGUUAGGUGUAUCGGUGACCACGAGUCACCGAGGUGCCGAAGGGAAACCGUGAAACGUGCCGCCGUGGGAAGUACGGUCGCAAGGCUAGAAACUUAAAGGAAUUGGCGGGGGAGCACCACAACGGGUGGAGCCUGCGGUUUAAUUGGACUCAACGCCGGGAAGCUCACCGGAUAAGACAGCGGAAUGAUUGCCGGGCUGAAGACUCUGCAUGACUAGCUG